UACGUAGGGGGCAAGCGUUGUCCGGAAUCAUUGGGCGUAAAGAGCGUGUAGGCGGUCCGGUAAGUCGGCUGUGAAAGUCCAGGGCUCAACCCUGGGAUGCCGGUCGAUACUGCCGGACUAGAGUUCGGAAGAGGCGAGUGGAAUUCCCGGUGUAGCGGUGAAAUGCGCAGAUAUCUGGAGGAACACCGGUGGCGAAGGCGGCAUCCUGGACCGACACUGACGCUGAGGAGCGAAAGCCAGGGGAGCAAACGGG
RNAcentral lists this ribosomal RNA (253 nucleotides) under uncultured bacterium. RNAcentral's name for it is "partial 16S ribosomal RNA". It matches the Rfam family "Bacterial small subunit ribosomal RNA", at positions 524 to 776 of the family's 1533-position model. The record is from RNAcentral.